AGCCUAACUCUAGCCCAACCAAUCCUAACCAACUCUCCUAAAUCCCCAAAACAAAACAUUUAAAUCUGACCUAGUAUAGGCGAUAGAAAAGUCCCCACAGGAGCUAUAGAGCUUACGUACCGUAAGGGAAAGAUGAAAUAACAAUGAUAAACCAAGCCCUAAAAAAGCAAAGAUCAACCCUUGUACCUUUUGCAUCAUGAUUUAGCAAGUACAACCAAGCAAAACGACACUUUAAGCUUGCCACCCCGAAACCCAAGCGAGCUACUCACAGGCAGCUAUUUCUUGAGCGAACCCAUCUCUGUUACAAAAGAGUGGGAAGACCUGUUAGUAGAGGUGAAAAGCCAAUCGAGCUGGGUGAUAGCUGGUUGUCUGUGAAACGAAUCUAAGUUCUCCUUUGAACUUUCUAUAAGGACAUCAACCCAACCCCCACGAAACCAAAAAUCAAAGGUAAAAUAAAGGAGGUACAGCUCCUUUAAAACAGAAUACACUCUUCCCUAGCGGAUAAGUCCCAAAACCUAUACCAACCUUGUAGGCCUUUAAGCAGCCAUCAACAAAAAAUGCGUCAAAGCUUCUCCCUCAAAAAUCCAAACCCCUCCACGACUCCCUUACCCCUAACAGACCACCCUAUUACAAAUAGGAGAAUCCAUGCUAAAAUGAGUAACUUGGUUAACUCCUCUACGGCGCAAACUUACAUCCAUAUUAUUAUUAACAAACCAAGAUAUAUAAUAACCCCAACAAGCCCCAUCUAUCUACUUCAACUGUUAACCCAACUCCAGGAGCGCCCUAAAGACGAUUAAAAUCUGUAAAAGGAACUAGGCAAACACAAGGCCCGACUGUUUACCAAAAACAUAGCCUUCAGCAAAACAAGUAUUGAAGGUGACGCCUGCCCAGUGACAUUAAGUUUAACGGCCGCGGUAUCCUAACCGUGCAAAGGUAGCACAAUCAAUUGUCCCAUAAAUCGAGACUCGUAUGAAUGGCUAAACGAGGUCUUAACUGUCUCUUACAGAUAAUCAGUGAAAUUGAUCUCCCUGUGCAAAAGCAGGGAUAAUAACACAAGACAAGAAGACCCUGUGGAACUUUAAAAUCAGCAGCCACCUCUUCAUCAACAUCACCCUAACAGGAUCACACCCACUAUCAAGACUACCCUGGCAUGCAUUUUUAGGUUGGGGCGACCUUGGAGAAAAACAAACCCUCCAAAAAUAAGACCACUCCUCUUAACCAAGACCAACCAAUCAACGUGCUAACAGCAACCAGACCCAAUACAAUUGACCAAUGAACCAAGCUACCCCAGGGAUAACAGCGCAAUCUCCUCCAAGAGCCCUCAUCGACGAGGAGGUUUACGACCUCGAUGUUGGAUCAGGACAUCCUAGUGGUGCAGCCGCUACUAAGGGUUCGUUUGUUCAACGAUUAACAGUCCUACGUGAUCUGAGUUCAGACCGGAGUAAUCCAGGUCGGUUUCUAUCUGUGAUAAACUCUUUCCAGUACGAAAGGACCGAAAGAAUGAGACCAAUACCACCGUCAUGUCUCCGCCUUAAGUAGUGAAUCCAACUAAACUACCAAAAGCUCACCCACAUUCACUGUUCUAGAA
This 1588-nucleotide ribosomal RNA is filed under the name Thamnophilus nigrocinereus. RNAcentral's name for it is "16S ribosomal RNA". It matches the Rfam family "Bacterial large subunit ribosomal RNA", at positions 410 to 2834 of the family's 2925-position model. Lineage: Eukaryota; Metazoa; Chordata; Aves; Passeriformes; Thamnophilidae. The record is from RNAcentral.